AUAGCAAACCCAUGGAAACAUGGCGACGCAAAGCUACAGGGCCUCGCAAAUAUGCGUGGUAGCCAGUUGCC
Molecule: non-coding RNA, 71 nt
Filed under: bovine gut metagenome
Description: Cyclic di-GMP-I riboswitch
Rfam family: c-di-GMP-I riboswitch aptamer
About the family: GEMM was predicted in a large-scale screen for bacterial structured RNA regulatory elements. Genes associated with GEMM are involved in a diverse array of functions, including chemotaxis regulation, signal transduction, secretion and chitin.
Source: RNAcentral